Molecule: ribosomal RNA, 373 nt
Filed under: uncultured organism
Description: bacterial SSU rRNA
Rfam family: Bacterial small subunit ribosomal RNA
Source: RNAcentral
CGUAGGGUGCGAGCGUUGUCCGGAAUUAUUGGGCGUAAAGGGCUCGUAGGCGGUUUGUCGCGUCGGGAGUGAAAACCAUGAGCUUAACUCAUGGCUUGCUUUCGAUACGGGCAGACUGGAGGUAUGCAGGGGAGAACGGAAUUCCUGGUGUAGCGGUGAAAUGCGCAGAUAUCAGGAGGAACACCGGUGGCGAAGGCGGUUCUCUGGGCAUUACCUGACGCUGAGGAGCGAAAGUGUGGGGAGCGAACAGGAUUAGAUACCCUGGUAGUCCACACCGUAAACGUUGGGCGCUAGGUGUGGGGCCUAUUCCAUGGGUUCCGUGCCGCAGCUAACGCAUUAAGCGCCCCGCCUGGGGAGUACGGCCGCAAGGCUA